Long non-coding RNA from Vigna unguiculata (cowpea), 1074 nucleotides. NCBI's taxonomy places the organism in Eukaryota, Viridiplantae, Streptophyta, Magnoliopsida, Fabales, Fabaceae. The record is from RefSeq and is a predicted model, not a curated record.
AUUUUUUGAAUCGUCUUUAUAUUUGAAUUCCAUGUCCUUUUUUUCCUCUUGGUAUAUUACUUGUAGUUACUAUUUUAUAUCAAAGGUAAACAACUAUUGCACACAGGAGUUAAUGUACGUGUAAAAAUUUAUUUGGACUAUUGGGAUCUUGUUUUAAUGAAGUUCUUGAGUAUGAACAUUUUCUUUUUGUUCCUUGUCAAGAUAUCUUCAAUUUAUAACUCUACCAAUGGUACUGGAUGUGCGGAAAGGUGAUUUCAUCUCAUAAAAGUCUUUGGUAUUUGAGUCCUAAGGAAAACUAGUUUUACUUCUGCAAUUGAUUCUGUUGGAGUUAUUGAAAUGAAACCAUAUUCGAGUGCUAGGAGAUGUUUCUGUGGAAGGCCACAGAGCAGGAGUGUAUGACAUGGAAAGCCUGAGAACCUGAGCCAGGGGUCACAGCAGAUCCCCUAUAAUUAUAGGUAUGGAGACAAGCUUUGGAAGCUCAUGACUUUUAGUAGGUGUGCAACUUGGAGACCUUACCUUCACAUGUCACAAGCUUAAGCAUCUUUCUUGGGUCCAUCAGUGACAAGAUGAAGGAAUUGAGAGUGAUGUGGAAAAUCAAAGGAUUUAAGUGGAGUGGGUAAAUGGAUGAGUUUUACAGUUAAGAUAUAAGGAGAAUGGGAGUUUAGAACAAUAGUUAGUUAACUAGAGGAACUAGCAGAUAGAAACAGGGGAAUAAGCAUAGAUUCAGAUUUCUUGUCAUUUGUAAAUUGAGUGUUAGCUCGUUGUGAAUGAGAAACCCUUGAAGGUGAGAUUUUUCUCUUAUUCCAUGUUCUUUUCACUCUAUUCAAUAAAAUUUUUCUCUUCUUUCCCAUUCCCAUUUCCGUCAGUGACAAAAAGGUAAUGUUCAAGCUUAAGGAGAAAAUUUACUGUAUAGAUAUAAAAUUUGCAAUAUUAUAUCAAACUGAAUGUUGGGAGAUGAAAUUUAAAAAAGUAAUAAUGUCAAUGUGAUGGAGAGAAUCCUAUGUUGAAUGAGAUGGUGUGCUAGACAUGCUAUCAAUAGUAAUGAAUGCAUUUGAGAAUAGUUGAGGUAGCACC